AUGCAAUAUUUAACGGUUUUUUUGUAACGUAAGCUGACCGUUGACGUAAGCUUACUAUUUUCAUAACAAAUUAGCUUCAAUUUAUUUGUUUUUAUUGUGAUGUUUGUUUCAUACUCUUGUGAUGUAUCAUGUUACCAAAAGAGCCUUCAUAAACGGAUUAAAACUCAAAAUCUGACCAGUAAAUUGUGUACAACUGAUAGCCCAGGUGAUCAUCUUGAGAUGUUUAUGAUUCACUUGUUAGUCUUUGUUUCUAUUCUGUUGCCUGUUUUCAACAAACUUGAUAGUGAAUCUAUGUGAGAAUCAACUUGAUCACAAGUUUGUAAAUUAUAUUGAUAAACAAGGACGUUUAGAUAAGUUGGUUGAACAAGAAAUAAACUGACUACGAUAUUGGAUCACUGUUACCACCAUCAACCAAACCUAUGCAAAACAAAGAAACUUCAAUUGGCUUACUGGUGCUAUCUUAUUGACGGAUCUCAAUCAAUUGGUAUCAACAUAAUGAAAAACAAAUUAUACGAUUGACAAGUACCCUAAAGGAGUGAACGGAAUCAAAAUAUACAUCAUUGUUUGGAAAUGAAAAAAAAAACGGAUACCUUUCAAUUUAACCUGAACAAAUAUGUAUUUUGAGUAUUAUUCAAUUAAGUUUGAUUAUAUAACAUUCAAGUAUUCAUAUCAGCAUCAAAGCUCAACUUGAGAUGUUGCGUUCAACUCACCAAAGAGCAUCGUGCAUUAGCUGAUGACGCCAUUACAGUUCUUCAAUCUUUCAAUUAGUAUCUAUAUUAUGAGAAUGAUUGACCAGAAACUGAUUCAAAUACAGAGUGCCCUAAAAAUCAAAUCAUUGAGGCAAAACAAAUUACAUUGAACAUUGAAAUGCAAGUAAAUUCAUUGCUGGAUCGAAUGUAACGUGUUGAAGAAACAUCGUCAUAAAGAACAUCGUGAAGAACAUUUUUCCUGGCAAAAAAUCAAAACUAGAAACUAAACUGGAAAGGUCAGAGGUUAUGCUACAAGACCUCAACUUGAAUCAGUCAAAGUUUGUUAGAGGCAAUUAAAAUCAAAGGAUCAAGACUCGUGGAGACAAUAAAGGAUUUGGAAAGAUAAAAAAAUUGACCAUUAGAUGACCAUUCAUCCAUUACGUAUACUUCUACCUUUACUGUACCUCUUCAUUUGUUGGAUAAACUCAUCUUGAAAUUGUACUUUUAUCGUCAAUGUCACAGCCUUGUGAUGUACUUUGGUUUCAUCUUCUUCUUUCCCCAUUCGCAUUCUCAAUUAUUCAUCAAAAAUUGAGUCUUCUUUGGACCUGACUGUAUAUUGUUCAAUACAAUCAAUUGUAUCAACAACAACAAAGAGUAUGAAACUAACUGGCAAAAACAACUUCGGAUUUAAUUGAAGUUCAUUUAAACACAUGGAGAAACUGUAUACUGUCUAUUGACCUGUCCAUUACUCUACCAAAAAUUAGGAUUGAAACGACUUUUCAACUUUGAAUUUGCCAUUGGAUUACAAUUGUAUGGUUAAAGUUGAUUACCUGAUUUAUACGGGGUGAGCUUGAUGCUGAUGUUUUCAGACUAAAGCUGUUGAAAAUGAUUACUGUGAUUAGAUUAGUGGAUGAAGAGGAGGCAGUACCCAGAAGAGAUCGAUGAAAGUAGAAAAAUAACAUUUCUAUGGAAUCAACUUUCAUAUCAAAGCAAUUGACAAAAGCUGUGAUAACAAUAAUUUUUUUAAAUUUUUGAUUAUAAUUUUAUGGCAAUAUCAUGGUGGUGUUGCUCAGUACAAGUGUCUUUUCAAAUGAAAUGCAACGACGAAGCAAGGAAAACAUAACAAAAAAAACAAGAAAAUGCGAAGGAAACUACGGAAAACCGGUUCGAACCAAUUUGUGUGCUAAGUUGUUAUUUGUUUAUAAAUUGUAGAUCAUUAAACAUUAUUUGUAUUCUGUAUCAAUAUAAAUAUGCUAUUAUUUCUGUAGGAUCACUAAAUCUACAUGCUAAAUCACAAUUUUGUAGGAAAAAACAAGUGACUCAUCUUCAUCAGCUAUCAUCAAACUAUUUUGAAAUCAAUCUUGAAAGACUUGAUUAAAUGUGAUUCAAUUUGUGCA
Molecule: non-coding RNA, 2086 nt
Organism: Tetranychus urticae (two-spotted spider mite)
Lineage: Eukaryota; Metazoa; Arthropoda; Arachnida; Trombidiformes; Tetranychidae
Source: RefSeq, a predicted model, not a curated record